GUGAGGCCUUAGCUUAAAUAAAGUGUCUGAUUUGCAUUCAGGAGUUGUAUAGUAUAAUUUUACAGGUCUU
Molecule: transfer RNA, 70 nt
Filed under: Phelsuma borbonica
Lineage: Eukaryota; Metazoa; Chordata; Lepidosauria; Squamata; Gekkonidae
Description: tRNA-Ala
Rfam family: tRNA
About the family: Transfer RNA (tRNA) molecules are approximately 80 nucleotides in length. Their secondary structure includes four short double-helical elements and three loops (D, anti-codon, and T loops).
Source: RNAcentral